UACGUAGGGGGCAAGCGUUGUUCGGAUUCACUGGGCGUAAAGCGCGCGCAGGCGGUCAUCUACGUCUGGGGUGAAAGCCCGGAGCUCAACUCCGGGAUUGCCUUGGAUACGGGAUGACUUGAGGAUCGGAGAGGCAAGGGGAAUUCCACGUGUAGCGGUGAAAUGCGUAGAGAUGUGGAGGAACACCUGUGGCGAAGGCGCCUUGCUGGCCGAUUUCUGACGCUGAGGCGCGAAAGCGUGGGGAGCAAACAGG
RNAcentral lists this ribosomal RNA (253 nucleotides) under uncultured bacterium. RNAcentral describes it as "partial 16S ribosomal RNA". It matches the Rfam family "Bacterial small subunit ribosomal RNA", at positions 524 to 776 of the family's 1533-position model. The record is from RNAcentral.